UCCGCUGUUGACGCCAGAGAUAGUGGGGCGGCUCGGGAAGAGCCGUUACGCCCGCUAGUUGAGCAGCCGACUCAUGGGUCGGGUGGCUGCCGGCAAGACGACCUGGAACGGGGAAGGCCCUCACCCAGCUACCUUGGGCUAAUCCCGUGGCGAGCUCGCAUUGGGCGACCAUUGCAGAGCCGUCGUAACGCACGCAAAGGCGUCGGCUGCUCUCUCUCGCGAGAGGCGGCUUAAGGGACGUGCUAAACCCACCCGAUGACAAAGGGUGCCCCGGACAAUAGGUCCCGACCACCGAAGGUUCAGGGGGGCAAAGGCGCUGAGAGGAAAUGCUCAGCUCCGCCCGGUACCGAGACGACGACAGUGUGCUCACUGUCCGUCAUCGCAUUGGCCAGCAGCCGCGGUAAUUCCAGCUCCAAUAGCGUAUAUUUAAGUUGCUGCAGUUAAAAAGCUCGUAGUUGGAUUUCGGAUGGGUACCGUCGGUCCGCCUCACGGUGUGUUACUGGCGGCGCCCAUCUUGCUGUCGGGGACGGGCUCCUGGGCUUAACUGUCCGGGACCCGGAGUCGACGAGGUUACUUUGAGUAAAUUAGAGUGUUCAAAGCAGGCCUACGCUCUGAAUACAUUAGCAUGGAAUAACACGAUAGGACUCUGGCCUAUCUUGUUGGUCUGUAGGACCGGAGUAAUG
This 683-nucleotide ribosomal RNA is filed under the name Desmococcus antarctica. RNAcentral's name for it is "bacterial SSU rRNA". The stretch from base 310 to 683 matches the Rfam family "Eukaryotic small subunit ribosomal RNA", at positions 1 to 867 of the family's 1831-position model. The record is from RNAcentral. Lineage: Eukaryota; Viridiplantae; Chlorophyta; Trebouxiophyceae; Prasiolales; Stichococcaceae.